CCUACGGGAGGCAGCAGUGAGGAAUAUUGGUCAAUGGGCGCGAGUCUGAACCAGCCAAGUAGCGUGAAGGAUGACUGCCCUACGGGUUGUAAACUUCUUUUAUAAAGGAAUAAAGUGAGGCACGUGUGCCUUUUUGUAUGUACUUUAUGAAUAAGGAUCGGCUAACUCCGUGCCAGCAGCCGCGGUAAUACGGAGGAUCCGAGCGUUAUCCGGAUUUAUUGGGUUUAAAGGGAGCGUAGAUGGUUUGUUAAGUCAGUUGUGAAAUUUUGCGGCUCAACCGUAAAAUUGCAAUUGAUACUGGCAGCCUUGAGAGCAGUUGAGGUAGGCGGAAUGUAUGGUGUAGCGGUGAAAUGCUUAGAUAUCACACAGAACUCCGAUUGCGAAGGCAGCCUACUAAGCUGCCACUGACAUUGAUGCUCGAAAGUGUGGGUAUCAAACAGGAUUAGAUACCCCUGUAGUC
Molecule: ribosomal RNA, 460 nt
Filed under: uncultured bacterium
Lineage: Bacteria
Description: partial 16S ribosomal RNA
Rfam family: Bacterial small subunit ribosomal RNA
Source: RNAcentral